Molecule: unclassified non-coding RNA, 265 nt
Filed under: Hevea brasiliensis (rubber tree)
Lineage: Eukaryota; Viridiplantae; Streptophyta; Magnoliopsida; Malpighiales; Euphorbiaceae
Source: RNAcentral
GAGUAAACCCUAGUCUCACCUUGCUUCAACCUGCACGUAAUCAGAAGCAGCUCUGUGGCCAUUAUGGGUGAAGAAGUCAAGGCAUUGAUUCCGGAGUCAGUCUUGAAGAAGAGGAAGAGGAAUGAAGAAUGGACAUUGUCAAAGCAGCAAGAACUUGAAGCGGCCAAAAACAAGAAUGCAGAGAAUCGUAAAUUGAUUUACAACAGAGCUAAGCUAUAUUCAAAGGAGUAUGAAGAGCAGGAAAAAGAGCUCAUUAGACUGAAGC